UAAUGACUUUCUUAUCUUUAAGUUAAACUAGUUUAAGAAUAAAAAAAUUCUUAUAUUAUAUAAUGACUUUCUUAUCUUUAAGUUAAACUAGUUUAAGAAUAAAAAAAUUCUUAUAUUAUAGAAAGACGAUAAGACCCUAAAACCUUCUUAUAUAAAUUUAUAUUUUACUGGGGCGGUAAUUUUUAAAUCAAAAAUCAUACAAACAUACUGAAUGACCUUAUCUACUUAUAAAAAAAACAAAAAGGUACUUUAGGGAUAACAGCAUAAUUUUUAUCUAGAGUCCCCAUCGACAUAAAAGAUUAUGACCUCGAUGUUGAAUUGAUUUAACUCCCUAGAGCAGAUUCUUGAAAAGUAGGUCUGUUCGACCUUUAAACAAUCACAUGAUCUG
RNAcentral lists this ribosomal RNA (388 nucleotides) under Armadillidium lobocurvum. RNAcentral's name for it is "partial 16S ribosomal RNA". The stretch from base 125 to 388 matches the Rfam family "Bacterial large subunit ribosomal RNA", at positions 2079 to 2607 of the family's 2925-position model. The record is from RNAcentral. Lineage: Eukaryota; Metazoa; Arthropoda; Malacostraca; Isopoda; Armadillidiidae.